Molecule: ribosomal RNA, 430 nt
Filed under: Pseudomonadota bacterium
Lineage: Bacteria; Pseudomonadati; Pseudomonadota
Description: Proteobacteria bacterium partial 16S ribosomal RNA
Rfam family: Bacterial small subunit ribosomal RNA
Source: RNAcentral
UGGGGAAUAUUGGACAAUGGGCGGAAGCCUGAUCCAGCCAUGCCGCGUGUGUGAAGAAGGCCUUUUGGUUGUAAAGCACUUUAAGCGAGGAGGAGGCUACUACUACUAAUACUACUGGAUAGUGGACGUUACUCGCAGAAUAAGCACCGGCUAACUCUGUGCCAGCAGCCGCGGUAAUACAGAGGGUGCGAGCGUUAAUCGGAUUUACUGGGCGUAAAGCGUGCGUAGGCGGCUAAUUGAGUCGGAUGUGAAAUCCCCGAGCUUAACUUGGGAAUUGCAUUCGAUACUGGUUAGCUAGAGUGUGGGAGAGGAUGGUAGAAUUCCAGGUGUAGCGGUGAAAUGCGUAGAGAUCUGGAGGAAUACCGAUGGCGAAGGCAGCCAUCUGGCCUAACACUGACGCUGAGGUACGAAAGCAUGGGGAGCAAACAGG